Molecule: ribosomal RNA, 228 nt
Filed under: uncultured bacterium
Lineage: Bacteria
Description: partial 16S ribosomal RNA
Rfam family: Bacterial small subunit ribosomal RNA
Source: RNAcentral
UGAGUAACACGUAUCCAACCUGCCGUCUACUCUUGGCCAGCCUUCUGAAGGAAGAUUAAUCCAGGAUGGCAUCAUGAGUUCACAUGUCCGCAUGAUUAAAGGUAUUUUCCGGUAGACGAUGGGGAUGCGUUCCAUUAGAUAGUAGGCGGGGUAACGGCCCACCUAGUCAACGAUGGAUAGGAGUUCUGAGAGGAAGGUCCCCCACAUUGGAACUGAGACACGGUCCAA